Molecule: ribosomal RNA, 388 nt
Filed under: uncultured bacterium
Lineage: Bacteria
Description: bacterial SSU rRNA
Rfam family: Bacterial small subunit ribosomal RNA
Source: RNAcentral
GAACGCUGGCGGCGUGCUUAACACAUGCAAGUCGAGCGGUAAGGCCCUUUCGGGGGUACACGAGCGGCGAACGGGUGAGUAACACGUGGGUGACCUGCCCUCAGCUCUGGGAUAAGCCUGGGAAACCGGGUCUAAUACUGGAUAUGACUCCAUGACGCAUGUUGUGGGGUGGAAAGCCUUGUGCGGCUGAGGAUGGGCCCGCGGCCUAUCAGCUUGUUGGUGGGGUGAUGGCCUACCAAGGCGACGACGGGUAGCCGGCCUGAGAGGGCGACCGGCCACACUGGGGACUGAGACACGGCCCAGACUCCUACGGGAGGCAGCAGUGGGGAAUCUUGCGCAAUGGGCGAAAGCCUGACGCAGCGACGCCGCGUGAGGGAUGACGGCCUGG